Long non-coding RNA from Ixodes scapularis (black-legged tick), 1224 nucleotides. RefSeq lists it as uncharacterized. Lineage: Eukaryota; Metazoa; Arthropoda; Arachnida; Ixodida; Ixodidae. The transcript has 2 exons. The record is from RefSeq and is a predicted model, not a curated record.
UGCAAACAAAAAGCGCCGAAAGAAUACAGGAACACAGACGAAGGGAAGGGACACAGCGCCUUGUCCUGUUUUCCUUCGUCUGUGUCUCUUUAUUUUUUUGGCGCUUUUUGUUUGAAAUUUUUUAACUUGCAUAAAUUAUUGCCUCCCCCCUUAAUGCUAGCUACCCAAUGUAGGCCCUUGUCCCCCCUUAAUGCUACCCGAUGUAGAAGUAGAUGGUUUAUGUCACUGGUAAGUCGCCUCUGGGCAUUUUUGUUGGAGACAGGAAGAGCUACAAGCUUCUGUGCAGUACAAGAGCAUUGGCCACUGGACAGUGUAGAGUCUUCAUUUCACAGUUUCCACCAUUACAAAAAGACUGCACCUCCUUGCUGCAAGGAACUCCAAAACUCCAACCGUGUCCUGCACACCGCAUAUGGUUAGAUUAGCUUUUGUCGUAACUGUGAGAUACCGGUCAGUGAUAAGUCCCCUUUGUGAAUCAUUCAAAAUUAGAAAAGAAACUGGAGUGGCCCCUCGUUGUGGUUGCUGACCAGUAUUUUUACAGUGACUAGUGUAAAGUAUCCAGUAUUUUUGUUUUGUCAUGUGCUUCGAGCAUUCUGUAGUGUAAUGCUAGCACACAGUGGUGCGCUAUGACACCACUUUGAUUUUAAGAUACUAAAUCUGAAUUGACUGACAUUCUACCGUCGAGUGGUUUUGGGAUCAUCAGUUUUGUCUGAAAACACAGUACCCUAGUUAAUUAUAAUUAUAAAAUUAGAUUUUAGGAGAUUACUUAAACACCCUUUAAUUUUUAUGAGAGUUUCGAUGAACAGGUUUAGAUACAUUGUUUCUCUUUUUUCAAAACAAUGCAAGAAUUAUUAUUGAACAGUUGAAACAUAAUUAACUGGCAAAUUGUUUCUCAUCAGAAUUGGCUGAGUGGUCUUGCAUCAGUUUGAAUAUGUCAUUCAUUGUGCAGUAACAGUAUCCUCCAGUUGGCACAAACUGUGACCUGGGUAUUUUAUUUUCAGGCACUGGGCCUUCAGAGGGAUGACACAUUUUCUACAACGAUGCUUUCCCAAGUCAUUGAGCACCUGAUGAAUGAACUUCCACCUUACCAAGGUGUGCCCGACGUCCUACCGGAGUACUUUUCUUCUGAGAGUCAAAAAAGCUCAGCUCUCGAUAUGGAUCUGACAACUUCCCAGACGCAGGAGUUUGAAAUGGAAGGCAAUGAAUAAAGCUAGCCUAGCUCAAGUG